RNAcentral lists this long non-coding RNA (1456 nucleotides) under Bos grunniens (domestic yak). Its description in RNAcentral is "lncRNA (ENSBGRG00000010471.1)". Lineage: Eukaryota; Metazoa; Chordata; Mammalia; Artiodactyla; Bovidae. The record is from RNAcentral.
CUUCUCUGCAGGGUGCAGGCUCAGAGGUGGGGCAGGGGACGCCCAAGGUCAUGGAAGAGACCCUUCAGGUGCAUCCUCCAACCUGCGACAGGGUUGGAGGAGUGCACACUCCAUCGCUCCUCUGCUGGGACCCAGGCCCGGAGCUGGGGGUAGCCGGCCUGGCCCCCCUGCCAGUCGGGUCCAGGGCAGGCCGGGCCACCGCCUCCCCGGCUCCCCCUCGGUCCAGGAAUCGGGGCUAGUAGGCAGCAUCAGCGGGGGACCCGGAAGUCAGGUGGGAGGCGGCACCCAGCCCCAAGGGGGCCUCUAACCCCUGGGGGCGGAGCGGCGGCCUCCGGAAGCGGGCGCGCUCACGGCUCGGCGCGGUUCCUGGCGCGGCCGCUGUAACCCGACUCCCCGCCCGCGGGGGGCGGGAGCCGAGCGGCGCUGCGCCCCGGCCCGAGUGCCACAUCACUCGCCCGGCCGCCCUGCUCGCCGCCCACCAUGCGGCCCCCGCCGCCGCUGCUCCUCACCAUGCUGGUCCUCGCCGCCGCCCGGCCCGGGUGCGAGCCCGCCUGGGACCCCGAGGGUGGAUGCCCCGGGUCUGCAGCUGCAGACAGCGGUACGUACCCGGACCGCCCGGUUUUGUUUUGUGGGAGUGAACACAGGCCCUCCACGCUCUCAAAGCCUUUUAGGGGGAGGAACCCGGGGUUCUGCAAUGGGUGAUGAUUAAGAGGGCCCAUCGAUCAAAUCCAGACCUAAUUAAAAGAGCUAGAAAUCAGGCAAAACAAGAGAGGGAGGCCCUUCCCUCUGUGCAGCUGGGCUCCCACCCCUGGCUCUGCCCUGGGCUUCUGCGGGGGUCUCUUCCAUCCCUCCCUCUCCGUGGCCCCCCAGGCGGGCUCGAGGAGGUCUGGGGUCUGACUUGAGGUGCGCAUGUGCCACGCUGGCUGGCUCUGCACCCCGUGUGUUCUUGGCACCUGCUGAGUCUGGGGCUGGGACAAGCCCCUCCCCGCCUGGCCUCGAGUUCCUGUCUCUAAAGUGAGGAAGGGAGCACUGAACUCCUGGGGGUGAUGCUGGAGAGGACGUGGAUCUGGCGUAUCGGAGGCGCUCAGAGCAGGCAUUUCUUCAAGGCUCCUCCUGCCAGAUUUGGGCAUUGGGGUAUUCUGAGCAGAAGCACUGGAUUUUUUUUUUAAGUGAAAGUGGCUCAGUUGUGUCCAACUCUCUGCGACCCCAUGGACUAUACAGUCUGUGGAAUUCUCCAGGCCAGAAUACUGGAGUGGGUAGCCUUUCCCUUCUCCAGGGGAUCUUCCCAACCCAGAAAUAGAACCCAGGUCUCCAGCAUUGCAGGCAGAUUCUUUACCAGCUGAGCCACAAGGGAAGCUGGUAAAGAAUUAUUAUUUUUUUUUAAGUAGGACAAUAUUUUUGCCAAACAGAAGUCAACCAUAUGCCUUAACGAGGCAACUCCUUGGCCGGGUUGGCU